This 267-nucleotide ribosomal RNA is filed under the name uncultured bacterium. RNAcentral's name for it is "partial 16S ribosomal RNA". It matches the Rfam family "Bacterial small subunit ribosomal RNA", at positions 15 to 272 of the family's 1533-position model. The record is from RNAcentral.
GAUAAUGGCUCAGGAUGAACGCUAGCUACAGGCUUAACACAUGCAAGUCGAGGGGCAGCAUGACCUAGCAAUAGGUUGAUGGCGACCGGCGCACGGGUGAGUAACACGUAUCCAACCUACCGGUUAUUUCCGGGGAUAGCCUUUCGAAAGAAAGAUUAAUACCGGAUAGUAUAACGAGAAGGCAUCUUCUUGUUAUUUAAAAGAAAUUUCGAUAACCGAUGGGGAUGCGUUCCCAUUAGUUUGUUGGCGGGGUAACGGCCCACCAAG